This 253-nucleotide ribosomal RNA is filed under the name uncultured bacterium. RNAcentral describes it as "partial 16S ribosomal RNA". It matches the Rfam family "Bacterial small subunit ribosomal RNA", at positions 524 to 776 of the family's 1533-position model. The record is from RNAcentral.
UACGUAGGCAGCGAGCGUUGUUCGGAGUUACUGGGCGUAAAGGGUGUGUAGGUGGCUGCGUAAGUCGGAUGUGAAAGCCCUGGGCUCAACUCAGGAAGUGCACUCGAUACUGCGUAGCUCGAGUACCGGAGAGGUUGGUAGAAUUCUCGGUGUAGAGGUGAAAUUCGUAGAUAUCGAGAGGAAUACCUGUGGCGAAGGCGGCCAACUGGACGAGUACUGACACUGAGACACGAAAGCGUGGGGAGCAAACAGG